This 270-nucleotide ribosomal RNA is filed under the name uncultured soil bacterium. RNAcentral describes it as "partial 16S ribosomal RNA". It matches the Rfam family "Bacterial small subunit ribosomal RNA", at positions 26 to 323 of the family's 1533-position model. The record is from RNAcentral.
AGAACGAACGCUGGCGGCAUGCCUAAUACAUGCAAGUCGAACGAACUCUUCGGAGUUAGUGGCGCACGGGUGCGUAACGCGUGGGAAUCUGCCCUUGGGUUCGGAAUAACAGUUGGAAACGACUGCUAAUACCGGAUGAUGACGAAAGUCCAAAGAUUUAUCGCCCAGGGAUGAGCCCGCGUAGGAUUAGCUAGUUGGUGAGGUAAAGGCUCACCAAGGCGACGAUCCUUAGCUGGUCUGAGAGGAUGAUCAGCCACACGUGGGACUGAG